GCCUUUAUGGCCACACCACCCUGAGCGCACGGGAUCUUGACUGAUUUUGGAAGCUAAGCAGAGGUGGGCCUGGCUAGUACUUGGGAUGCGAGACCCCCUGGGAAUACUGGGUGCUGAAGGCU
This 122-nucleotide ribosomal RNA is filed under the name Nomascus leucogenys (northern white-cheeked gibbon). Lineage: Eukaryota; Metazoa; Chordata; Mammalia; Primates; Hylobatidae. The record is from RNAcentral.